This 490-nucleotide ribosomal RNA is filed under the name uncultured bacterium. Its description in RNAcentral is "partial 16S ribosomal RNA". It matches the Rfam family "Bacterial small subunit ribosomal RNA", at positions 30 to 507 of the family's 1533-position model. The record is from RNAcentral.
AUUGAACGCUGGCGGCAGGCCUAACACAUGCAAGUCGAACGGUAACAGGAAGAAGCUUGCUUCUUUGCUGACGAGUGGCGGACGGGUGAGUAAUGUCUGGGAAACUGCCUGAUGGAGGGGGAUAACUACUGGAAACGGUAGCUAAUACCGCAUAACGUCGCAAGACCAAAGAGGGGGACCUUCGGGCCUCUUGCCAUCGGAUGUGCCCAGAUGGGAUUAGCUAGUAGGUGGGGUAACGGCUCACCUAGGCGACGAUCCCUAGCUGGUCUGAGAGGAUGACCAGCCACACUGGAACUGAGACACGGUCCAGACUCCUACGGGAGGCAGCAGUGGGUAAUAUUGCACAAUGGGCGCAAGCCUGAUGCAGCCAUGCCGCGUGUAUGAAGAAGGCCUUCGGGUUGUAAAGUACUUUCAGCGGGGAGGAAGGGAGUAAAGUUAAUACCUUUGCUCAUUGACGUUACCCGCAGAAGAAGCACCGGCUAACUCCGUG